This 22038-nucleotide long non-coding RNA is filed under the name Heterocephalus glaber (naked mole-rat). RNAcentral's name for it is "lncRNA (ENSHGLG00000035482.1)". The stretch from base 19093 to 19178 matches the Rfam family "mir-145 microRNA precursor family". The record is from RNAcentral. Lineage: Eukaryota; Metazoa; Chordata; Mammalia; Rodentia; Bathyergidae.
AAAUCUCCAAAUUUAGAAGAAAUAUGAAAAUUGUCAACCACUCCUUCCUUAGGGGGUAAAAGCAACAUUCGGCACUAGGGGCAGGUCAAGGCGAGGCAGUCACGUGUUGGGCUCCUGGGCCAAUGGGGGACCCCGGGAGGACUCCGCACCCACCUCUCCCCAGCACCAGGCUCGCCUCUUUAGCUCUUAUAAGGUAAAAGGCAGAGAACCCUCUGUGGCCAGGGAGCCGCGGGCAAGGGGCUAAGGGGAGGGGGUCCAGUGCCAGUCGCUUAAAAAUGCCCCUGUGGCAGUGAGGGGUGCCAGAGGCUGGGUCAAGUUAGUCGUGAAGCAGUGAUACCCCCAACCAUUCCCCACACAGGCUGGCCCCCCAUCGCCAGGCGCAAGAAGCCACACCUGGACCAGACUCCAGGCGAGGUAAGAAUGAGCUGAGACACGGGGCCAUGAACGGGGCUGUGCAUCCUCCUCCCCAGGAGGUUGCAUCUGGAGGUCUUGUCCUUGCUUUCUUGCUAACUGCUCUGUGCCUUCUGCCUCUCUGGGCCUCAGUUUCCCUAUCUGGACAGGGGUUGGAUUCGAUGAUCUCUAAGCGUUCAUCCAGGCUGAUGGCUCUAAUCCACAGUUCUGUUGGCUCUGAGGUCUUCGUGUUGCUGCGGUACCAUGGGGACAGAGGCAGAGGGAGUGGACGGAGUCAAUGCCCAAACUUGCCCUCUGUGCCCAAGUUUGGGAUUCUAUGUGGACAGUGCUCUCCCUUCUUGUGUGAGGUUUUGGUUUCAGUUCUAAGAGCCUGGGGCUCCUGGUAAGGAAAAUAGUUUUCAAAUAAUGGCUUCGAGAAACAUAGCUAGAGGGAAGUGAUGUGAGCGUGGGCUCCUGAAAGAAACCAGAGAACAAGGAAGGAGCUGAGUUAGCUGUGCAUGGAGCCUGGGCCAGGGCUCCAACCCAGCUCUGCUCCUGGUGCCUGGCUCUGUGGCUCUGGCGGUCACUGUCCCUCCGGUGCUUCCUUAUCUGUCUUAGGAGGUCUCUACACAGGAUGUGGCUUCUGAGCCAGUUGAGCCUACCAGAAGCCAGUGUCCCUGAGCUGAGCCAAAAGGUCCUGAGCUGAGCCUGCCCUUUGAUCAUGGGCUCAGAGCCUGAGCAGAUGCCCAAAGCCCCAGGAAAGUGAAGGAAAGUGACUGCAGGGUGUCUGCCCCAGGCCAUGGGACUAUCUUCCCCAGGACUCAGCUCGGUGGGCAAGGGCGGCUCUCUGCACUCAGGCACACAGCGGUGCCAGACUGGAGGCAGAAUGGGGGAGAGUGACUGCAGGGGGCUCAGGAGGUGAGAUGUAGGGCUGAACUCCACAGAGAAAGGCAGGAGGCAGAUGGGCACCAGGGGUCCUGUCAGGCAGGGCUCCGGAUGGGAAUGCAGAUGCGCACGGCAGUAUUCACCUCCUCUGAACACAUUCUGGCCACAUGCAGGAACAGAGCCCAGUCCUCCAGUGCCAGCCUCUCUAGGGCCUUUACCUUCUUGCUUCUAGGCACGCAAAGCUCAACACUUUAAUAAUCCAGAAUCCUAGAAUCCAACUGACAGGCCCCCAUCCUGGCUUGUUUACUUACAAGCAAAGUGACCCUGGGCAAGUCCCCUGCCAUCUGAGCCUCAAUUCCUCCUCUGUGGAAUGAGUACAGUCCUGAUUCUAACCCCUUGUGUCUAUCAUGAGGAGUGAGGGACAUGCUCCCCUUACAGCAGGGUCUGGAGUGACAGGACCAUGAGGCUCCAUACCUCUUGUGGGGCAAGAUGACAGCAGCCAUGUUUAGAGGGAAGAAGAGAUGAGACUGAGGCAUGGAACAAUGGGGCCACUGAGGGGAGGACCAGCUCCGGCAGGAAGAGGGAAGGUGAAUCUGGAAGCAGAGGUGAGGGGUGAAGGGCAGUCAGUAUGAGACUCUAAGAGCCAAGUGUGGCCCCAUCCCUGCAUGCACAAGCGGAUCAGGUAUCUCCAGGAUGUGGGGCCCAAGCACUGCACACUCAGGGGCAGGGACCCCAGGCAGGGCCCAGGAAUCUCCAGGCUAGACCCCAGGACCUUUCAUGGCUUGGGCUGUAGAGCAUCCUAGGACCCUCAACAGACCCAGGGCAGCUGAAGCACCCAAGAGGAUGUACAGCCAUAGGUUAUACAGUGACUGAUGGCAGAGGGAACAGGACCUGAAUCUCUGCCCUGCCAGGGGUUCCUGGAGAUGGUACAAUUAGGGAGAAAUGUAUUGCAUUCUUUUGCAUGGCAUAGAGGCGAUCCCAGAACUACUCAGUGUCUUUAUAUGAACUAAUUAAUUUAAUCCUCACGAGACCUUGUGAAGUAGGUGGAAGUAUCCCUAUUGCUCAGAUGAGAUAGUGGAGGUGCAGAAGGGUUAAGUAGCUUGCCUAAGAUCACACCAUUACUUGUUAAACUUAGAUACUGUGUGUGCUUCCCCAGGAUGCUAUCUUCCCCAGGAGUCUCUGGGCUCCUGCCCUGCCCCUCACCCACCCUGAAAUUCCCGAGGAACCUUCAAUAUACCUGGUAGAAGGGGACAAAAUAUGGAUGGGAAACUUCCCAGGAGCCAGGUACUGGGCUGAACCAUUUGUGUUAUCAUUUGAAAUUCUCAGGAUUAUUAAGAGGAAGGAAUCAGCAUGACCAUGUCAUCACCGGUGUAUAAAGAAGGAAGCCAUUAUAGCUUGCCACAGGUCACAUAACUCAAAUAUAGCGAGGGGGAUUUGACCCCAGCCUGGAGCCCCAACCCAUAUGCCCUUCUCCUGCCUGCUAAGGGUCUCCAGAUGGGUGCAGUGAUAAGGAAGCCCACCUCACCCUCUGGAGAAGACUAAGUCAGAGAGGGGCACCCAGGGCUUGACCAAGCCUCUUGCUCUGAGGCCACCUCAUCUGCUGCUCCGCACAGAGACCCUGAGGACUAAAGCAGCCUUUUCCUCCUGGGCCAGUUCUGGGGAAGAGCAGAUGAAAUGCACAAAGUCUUGAGGAGUGGAAGGUUCAAGGCCUGAGCUGUCACUGCCGUGUACCCCAGGGGCUCCCUGAGAUGGUCUCUGAGGUCCCCACACUGGGCUCUGCUGGACUCUUCCUCCUCCUGCCAUUGUCCAACAGAAUGGUCUGUGGGCCUGAUCAGGGCUUCCAGUGGUUCAAAGAUCCAUUAUAAAGGAGUUUCUGCAUUAUGUCCAUUUUUGUGCUCAUCUCCUGGUGCACAGAAGCCGCAGUCUCGGGAUUACUGGGUGUGUGCAGGAAACUACUUGAUUAUUUUCCAGAGUGGCCAAGUGAACCUCCUCCCACUCCCCAGCAGUAUAUGGCAUUCCCUUCUUCCUGACCAUGCUAGAAAGGACCAGAGUUCAUGAAGCGUGUGUGUUACCCACUUUAUUUCAUAUGUGUCACGUUUCUCUAAUAAACACUGUAAGGGAAAGGGCUGUGGGUGUAGUUCAGCGGUGGAGCACUUACCUAGGAUGAGCCAGGCUCUGGGUUCUGUCCCUAGCACCUACCCCUAAAAGGAAGGAAGAACUGGAAAUAAAAUGCUUGUGUGUGUUCUGCAAGAUGCUCCACUCUUGUCCAUGUGGGCAUCUAGAAAUCGGCCUUACAUGUGCCAAGUGGCUAAGCCUCUGAAUCAUGGACACUUGGCAGGCCCUGGAGUGGGAGUGGGCCCUACCCACGUGGCCCCCCACCCGAGCAGUACACAGUCUCCACAGUCUGAUCAGAGCUGCCUGGGGCAGUGAGCUGCAGGAGUCGGAGAAAGAGCCCACCAUAGCUUCCACGGCAGCUAACAGCUUGUCUAGACAGGCCCCAUGGGGUCAUCAGUCUGGCCUCACCACACAUCUCGGGAGCCUCAGGACAGCCACUCGCUGAUUGCAAAAGAGGCUCAUUGGCAGCAGCACUUCCCCACCAGAAGCCUUUUCUCCGGUUCAGACCAUGCCCCAUUUUGCAGCACAGACACCCAUUUUCCCAGCCCGCAAGCUGGACCUCUUCAGGCUCCGCUUUUGUUAGCCAAGGAGACAAGGCUGAGUCUAGAACCAGGCUCUCUCUCCCCAUGUCUUGAGAUGAAGGGAGCAUGUGGACAUCCAGCUGUGCUGAGAGUGAGAUAAAGACACGGUAGGCCAAAGGUUCGAGGUGGGGGCCUGAGCUGAAUCCUGCAUGUGCCUCGCAGCAGCUGUGGAACCUUGGGCAUCCUACAGAGAGACCCUCUGUGCCUCAGCUGUGAAACAGGGGUGUUGUUUGGGUGGGCCAAGUCCACUUGGGGCCUCAUCAGCCCUGGGAUACCCUUUGUCACCUGCCCCCAACCUGUCAGAGACUUGAAGAAGUGGGCUAGACCAAGACUGAGGACAACAGCCAUAUUUUGGCCCCUCCCCAGGAGCCCCACCCUGCUGCAAGCCUAGACCCCUAGGCCUCAGAGAGCCCUCCUUGGACCCAAGCUGUACUUCAGGGAGGGAAGCUCCAACCUGGAAAGCACACUGGACCCACAGGCUUAAUAGGGAUGUUGCCCAGCUGCCACUAACUUCCGCCCCUCAUCUCUUCCUUUGCUCCUGAUGGGGCAAAGUCUCCAGAAGGGGCCGGCUGGCCUCACAGUGGCAGCCGCAGAGACCACGGCACCGCCCUAGACUGUGCUGCCUGGCUCAGAGGCCUCUGGUCAGCAUUCUCAGAGCCAGCCAAACCUCGGACACAUGACCAGCAACCCCCAGAUGCUGAGGGCAGCCACUGAGAUACAUGAAUGAGAUGGGGAGGAAGAAAGAGACAGCUGAGUCCUGGCAUCCUCUGAGACUUGAGGAAGUGCCCCCACACCCCACCCCAGCCCUUCAGGCCUGAGGCCCACUGUUUGGGAUGGAAGGGGGAUAGCUCGGGUCAUGUCAUGUGUGCUGGUGGAUGCCAAGACUUCCCAAGAGGUUAACAAGGCUGUGGGUGGAGGCAGUGAGGGCAGCAGCAUGCCCUGGACAGAUGGCGAGGAGCACAGCCAGGUGGACAGUCCGGAAAGCAAAGGUAGAGAGGGAGGACUACAAAGACGUUUGCAGAGAACAAUGCAGAAGCCCAUUGGCUGGAACCCAGUGUUGACCUUAAGUUCGGAGGUUGACAAAAUCCUAAAGGCCUGUGUUGUGGAGUGGCUUAGACAACUGGGAACCAAGGCCUCAGAAGCUGGGCAAAGCCAAAUAUGGUGAGGCACGUCUGCAUCUGGGAGGUUGAGGCAGGAGGAUAAAGAGCUCAAGCACAGCCUGGACAACUUAGCAAAUUCAUGAGGCCCUAUCUCAAAAAUAAAAAAUACAGUGGGUUGAGGAUGUAGCUCAAAUGCCUGGGUUCAUUCUCCAGUACCUCGAAGAAGGAGGAGGAGGAGGUGAAGGAGAAAGAGGAGGAAGAGGAAGGAGUUGUAGAAAGUUCUCUUUGGAAUCUUUCAGUCCUUUUCUUUAACCUACUUGUCUCCUUUCCCCAAAAAUCCAUCAGCCAAGAGCCCCCAUCAGUGGAGUCCUGAGAAUCUCGACAUUGGGAAUCCUCAGAUGUCAAGCAGUGGGGAGAGGGGACCACAUGGUUAGGAGAGGUAGGAAGCCCAAGGGCUGCAGUCACCAACUUCCAACCUCUCAAAGCCUUCUGAGGAAGUUUACAGCCCCAGAAGAGAGGCAGGAGAAGCCAGAGAGGCAGAUAGCAGCCGGGUGUUAGGAAGGAGUCUCCAAUAGCCUGUGUGUGGGAGACAGAAUAAGGUGAUUUGGAAGUGGUGAGCUCCCCGCCACAAAAAGUGUGCAAGAUUAGCAGGGAUGCCAUAGUGAGGAGGCAGGCAUCAGAGGCCUUGUGACCUUUCCUAUCACCUGCCUGGAGCUUCACGUGCCAGAUGUAGCUGCAGUGGGACAGUUGGGCUGCUCACCUCCCCAGCAGCCUGCAUGUCAGAUUCCAGCCUGAUGUGUGACGUCAAUGCUGCCCUGACUUUGCCCAGGGAUCUCUUGGGGCCCCUACCUCCCACUUCCUGUCACCCCACUGCUGCCUACUGCCCUUCCCAGGAGACCUGGAAUCUGACUGUGAGGCAGAAGUCCCAGGGGACCAUUCAAUUGCUGGCCUUCAGCCCUGCAGCAAUGAGCCUGAGCGGGCUGAGCUCCCUGGAGCCCUGUUCACACGCUCCAGAGAGUCUGCGUGGAAAUUCCAGGAGGGUCACUGGGCAGCUUCUAAUUUAGAACCAAGAUGCUUUACCCCAGCAGGGGGUGGGGUGUCACAGGAGACUGGAAAAGAAAGUAGCUCUUCUCAAUGGAUGAGUCACAGAAGACAGAGCCCAGAGAGACCGGGGGUGCGGUGCUGACUGGGGCAUCCUUCUCCUUCCAGGACCCAGGGAUGUGGACAGAAAUUUGAGACAAGGCAAGGGGUGUGCCAGGCCUGAUAAGGGUGCCAGGGCAAUGGGCAUGAACACUGAGCAGGUGAGCAGGCAGCCCUGGACACCUGUGCCCAGCAUUGCCUGAGCCUAGCUUCAAGCCAGGCUCAGACAGUCAGCCAGGGGUCCUAGAAUAGAGACAGAAGGGUCCCGGAAAUGGGCAUUUGGGGAGUUCCUGCCUCACACUGGCGGUAAAGCUAAAGUGAACUGCUGUCCCCAUGACAUUCACCCCGGGGACCUGGUGGAUGCUCAAUAAAUGUUCCUGGGAUUCACCCUAAACUCAUAGCAUCUGAGUUCUUCCAGAGCUAAAGGGGCCUCAGAGUGAGUUGAGCCUCUGCCCUCAGGUCGCAGAUAAGAAACUGAGCCCUGGUGGUGAGCAGAGCCUUCCCCAAAUCCACCGUGCCAGAGUGGCUUCAUCCUCUGCUUCGUCUUUGCUUUCUAGGCAGGUGCUACACUCUUCACCACUGAGGGUGGUGCCUGCCAGGCUCUGGGGUCAGAGGUAGCUGGAAGGUGGCAGACUGUACGGGGAGCCCUUUACAUGGCCAGAGGCAGCUGCCAACAGCAUGGGGACUGCAGUGGGAGGCCUCCCAAAGAGCAGAGAGCCCAAGGCUGGGACCUGAGGCCCUGGGUUCUAUUCUUGGCUCUGCCUCAACUCUCCAGAUGACCUUGAACAUGACCUCUGGCCUCCAUGUGUGGAAUGAGGGGCAGGGCCAGACCAGCAAGAGAAGCUGGGGAUUUGAUCCACAGUCUGCCCCAUUGGGCCUCCUCUGUAUCUGUCUCCAACCAUCUUAGAUUUUACUUAGCCAGCUUGGCCCAGGAAGAGAACAGCUGCCUGUGUAUUCUAAGCCCAAGCUUCACUUUCCAGCUAUAAAUUCCCAGAGAGAGGAAAACCUGGGCAACCUUUUGACAUCACCCCAGUGAGAGAAGCUGAGAUAAGAAGGGGUCAGCAGAUGGCUCCAGGUCACACAGUGAGCUAUGCCCAGGCUAGAAGUUGAUCUUGGGUCUCCUGACACCCACAUCAGGGCUUUUUCCACUGACCACACUUCCCUCCACAGUAGUAGUAGUGGACACAAAAGCCACUCACAAGCAGACCCAGUCGCCGAUUUACCUUGAUGGGUCAAAAUCCUGCUCGGGGAGCCUAGAAUCUCUCUCGGCGGCGCCGUCUGGAACUCAGUUUCCUGUGCACCAGAUGUCUAUAAGCUCCUCCUCCCGAGCACGAGCACUAGGGAUCCACCGGGACCACGGGGCUUCCCUGGGCAGCCCCUGCUGCCUCGGCUUCCUCCUGCUCUUUAUCAACAGUAGAGGACCCUGGCCAGGAAAUCCCACCUAGUCCCCCCCAGACCCCAAGGCUGGGCUUCAAUCAGAAUUACAGGCCCCAGCCCAGCUCCCCUCUGAGGAGCUGGAUUUUUCUUACCAUAAAAGGACAAGUGGGCCUCCCCUGCUCCCUGCUGCCAGCCCUGCUGGGAGAAAGGCUAAGCUAUUUUUAGAAAACUCAAGGGUUCGCAAGAUGAAGCUUGUCUGUGCCUGCACCCCAGCCCCUCCCCAUCUCUCCUCUUCCUCUCCUCCCCCUCCCUCUCCCCCUCCCCCUCCUCCUUCUCCUCCUCCUUGCAUCUCCCCACUCCAGCCCUGGCUGCCUGGCUCUCCAGCUCACUCCAAAAGUGUCUCUUCCAUUUUCUCUCCCUCCCCUGCACCUCCCCUCUUCCCUCUCUUCCUUCCCGUUCCCUUCUCUUCAAAUCUUUUCAUAGUCAGCCUCCCUCCCCCGUGUCCCUCCUUCAGAUCUCCCUUCUGGCGGUUGGAGAAAGUAACACAUCAGCACCCCCACCCGCUUCUCAAACACUAUUUACAACCUAAAUUCCAAACAUCCGCCAUCUGGUUCUAGGAAGGGCCAAAAAUUAUUUGGAGAAGGAAGUCAGGAUUAUUCCAUCUUCAAAGCCAAAAGAAUUUAAAGGCCUCUUCUCUCCCACCUUCCUCGGGGGCCCCUCCGUUAACAUCUGACCCAUUAGGAUCCCUCAGUGAGUAGAGGAGGUCAGGGCACUUACUGGAGGGCCAGCUGGGCCUCUGACUGCAUGCAUCACCAGGAAUUUGUUGUGUCUCCUCUCCAUGCCUCAGUUUCCUCAGGGAAUGAUGGGUGUAGCCUAGGAUGCUUCCAACACAAGUGCUCUAAGACUCCAAGUCCUGGUGCAGAAAUUUCAGCUGAUCCUGGUCACUGGAUCCCAGCUUUGGGGUGAGCAAUGAGGAGUGAGAUGAGGUCAGGAUCUGACCUGGGAGGGCCCUGGACACCCCACAAGGUCCAGUCCUCUCCCUACCACAUCACAUACAAACAUGCGCACGUGCGUGCACACGGACCCUGAGGCCCAGGGAGGGCAAGGCCUUUGUCCAUGGUCACACAGUGUAUGUGUCUGUGGGAGACCGGGUACCUAGCCUGCUACCCCUCCCACCCAACACAUUCCAGAAGAAACCAAGAUCCCUAUUACCCAGAAAGUCUCACCGAUCCGAGCAAAGCCCCCAAAUCCUGGAGCUCCCUGCUCUUCGCAAAGCAGACAGGACAGAAGGCAGAACCAACUCCUUUAUCUUGGUGGUAGCUUUUGGUUUGCUGUUUUCUAUCAACUGGACAGCGGGCAAGGGAAAGAUACUAUGGCACAGGCAGAACAGCAACCAAAAUAAGAAACCCCCUUGAUUCUACUGACGUGCAGCCUUUGCCAGGGCCCAGGAGGCUUCUGCUUAGACUAAAAAUGCUUUCUCUUUUCACAGCCCCUCUCCAUGAAGGCAAACACAUACCUGGAAAAUGCCAUGAGACACUGACUCAGGUUAUCACUCUGAAAAUGAUGCCAUAUUGCAGGCACAACAGCACAUACCUGUAACCACAGCUACUCCGAAGGCUGAGGCGGGAGGAUUGCAAGUCCAAGGCCAGUCUUGGUGACAUAGUGAAAUACUGUCUCAAAACAAAAUUUUAAAAAAGGGCCUGGGAUGUAGCUCAGUGGUAGAGUGCUUGCCUAGCUUGUGCAAGGCCCUGGGUUCUAUUCUCAGAACCAAGAAAAAAUUAAUUAAAAAUAAAAAUAAUCCAUAAAUAAUCUGGGCUCCAAGGGGAGCCAUGAACAUGCAUUUUGGGCUGCCUGGAACCAGUCCCGAUCUGACACUUAGUAGCUAUGUGGCCAAGGGAGUGCUGUCAGCUCUGAGAGCCUCAGUGUCCUCAUCUGUAAGACGAGGGCAGGCAGAGUGGUGCCUAACUCUUAAGUGACUGUGAGUCAGGUGAAGAAACCAUGGCAAAGGGCGGAGCAUCCAGAGUCCCAGCGCUUCGCCAGUGGUGGCCGUGGCUAGGGUGGGCCCAAGGAGCUGGGUACAGAGGAAGACAGCUUGGGGACACUCUUUGGCAGCCUUUGCCCUCCCUGGGAGCCCAGGGUGACAGGAACUGCAGGAACGCUUGUCUCUAGGUCCCUCCCAGGACACCUCCCAGGGCUGAGCUCCUGGGACAUGGCCUAGGGGGUCUAGGGCAGCCUCGCCUGCCAGCCCUCUUCUUUCCCUGGCUUCCCCCCGCCCCCUGGUUUCGACCUCAAACUGCAUUCCCAGGGUUUGCUCCAAAGCCAGAGCACCCUUCCCUGGGGAGGAAGUGGGGAGCGUGUGAGGCUGCUGAACUCGGUGUGGGUGAUGGGCAGAGGACGCUCUGGGAACAGAGACCCAGGGCAGCUGUGCACAGAGGGGACAUGAGGAGGGGCCCAGACAGCAGCUCCACAGCCAGCUUCCACAUCUUGUCCCGACCGAGGGCUGCAGGCCUUCAUCUCUGCCUCCUUGCUGCUCUUCCUGCCUCUACCCUACAUGCGCUAAUAAACGGGCACUGCAGCCGUUUGUUCUGGCUUAUUUAUCACAAGCUUCAGAUUGCUGGCCCUUGACGUCCACCUCAUCUGGCCUUCACAAACAAGGCCCAGAGAAGUGAAGACCCUGAUCCUACAUCACACAGCCAGUUAAUUCUAGAGGUGUGAGCAGGGCAUGUCUUCUUCAUUCUUUCCAAAUCUGUGAUGGAAACUGGCCCUGGAGGCCAAGGCGAGCAGAGGCUGGAGAGCUCACACAUAUGUGUAGGAGUCGAGGCCAGGGUGGUGGCCAUGCGACCAGGUGUGAGCCUGGGCCUUAGGCUUGCUCAGAGCCCUGGCCUCUGUCCUCCCAGACUGCAGGCCAUCUGGCUCACAGAUGUGGCCCAUUCCCAUUCCCUCAUGUUUCUUGGAAACAAGCAAGGACAGAAGAGCCCACUAGGCUUUUGCAGUGACUGUAACAAUGUGAGCAUUGUCUCAGGGUCACCUGGCCAGCCACUGCCCAUGCUCAGGGGCAGCUGGACUGAGCACACAGAGCCUGGGUCCCAGUCUGCUCCGGCACUUCUCAGCAGGUGACCCUACCAGGCAAAGGCAGAUGCACAUCCUCUCUGACUCUGGGCGGGGUGCUCAGGUGACAGCUCCCCAGACCUCUGGGGAUUGGUUUUUGGACCCCAAAUGGCUCCUUUUUUUUUUAUUUUUUGGUACAGGGGAUCAAACUCCUUGAGGUCCUUGAGCUUGCACAGCAGGUGGCGAAACCACUGAGCUAAAUCCCUGGCUAAUGGCUCCUUAUAUACAAGCCCAGGGGGGAUUUCAUGCCAGACUGGUUCUUUAGUCAGGAACUUCUGCUGCUCUCGGAUCUAGAGUUUCUCUGAAGACCUCCUUGAGAGCCAAACUGGUAUAGCAGUGACAGUGGCUGCUCCGGCGUGAGGGUCCCCUUCCACAGGGCCUGGAAAAUCUCAGGGAGUUCUGGGCCAGCAGUGGCUGGGCCCCUCCUCGGUCUCUCCACGCCUGGCAGCCCCAUCUGGGUCCUCAGAGACCAGGGCCCUGGCCAGAGAGCAGCCCCGCAUCCCUCUGCCAGGCAGGAUCUCUGUCCCUUUCAGGGAAGGGCACCGGCUGGUGUUGGAGGAGCGGAAGCCCAGAGCAGGAACCUCCCAGGGAGGGAGUGGGCGGCAGGCAGCAGAACUGUGAGUGUCCCCCAGCUCCUCCACACACGCCUGCUUCAGGCAGCUCCCGGAGUAUCUGGGAACCUGGGGACCCCCCCCCCCAUGCUGACCCUCACCAGGCCUCAGAACAGCGAGGAAAAGGAAGGCCCAGGUUGAACGGUGGUAAUGUGGGCAAUUCUGGGCCUUUGCAGGCUGAGCAAUGAAACCAAAGAAAGGAGAACUGAUCAGGAGCUGAGAGUCUCUGCCUCCCCACAUUCCUGAUGAAAGACCCAUGCAAGCCUGUGUGAUGUGAUGAGUGAGCAGCUUGCAGAAGAUGGAGGGAACGGUAGCAAUCUUCCCUAGAAAGAGUGAAGAGAGCCAGACCCGGAGACAGGAGGCCCUGGGACAAAUCACAGCCUCUCUGAGCCUGCUGGUAACCAAUGGGCUCCUGGGGCUUUGGAGGGGCUCCCAAAGUUGGGCUGUGUCCUAGGUGUGCUGCAAAGCUCAAGAAAGAGCAGCAGUUGUUUUUGCCGCCCAUGCUUCUCACGCUUGCCAAUUAUUAGAGGCGCCUUCACGCUCCUGGUAGAGGGCAGGAUGAGGUGUCAGCCCCAUUAAGAGAGCUGGGGAAACUGAGGCCUGGGAAGUGAAGGAACUCACUCAGUCACUGGGACAGGCAGCAGCAGAGGGGCAUUCUGGCACCAGGUCUCACAUGGCUGGAAAAAAGGAAGAAAGGUUUGGAGGUGAGUGGAGGGUGGGUGGAGGAGCAGACUCCAGCAAGGAGGAUGCUCCGAGGAGGUGGGACAAGCCCCAGGCCUGCUUUACAUAACACGGCCCACCUGUUCACCCCUGCACACCCCACACAUGUGUGCAAACGUGCACAGACCUGGUCCUUACUCACCAGCUAAUGAGCCACAGAGACUGGAUCUAAACAAAUUGGAUUAGAAGGGCUGCAGGCGCCUCCUCCCUCGCCUGUCCGGCUCCGACACUGAGCAGGCCUGCAGAGCCGCCAGCUGCAGAAUCUCGGCCACACUGACAAUCUUCCUGGGCCCCAGGCCCCAGCCCUGAGCCCCAGGAAGGAGACUGGGGCCUGAGAGGAUGCCACAGUGAUGGAUGGAGUGAGGGAGGCUCCGGGCCUCCUCCAGGGCACACAGGAUGUUAGUGCUUGUGUGAGGCCACUACCGAGUGUUCCCAGCCCACCCCACUGCCCCACUCCUCCCCCUUCCUCCAGCCUCUCCUGCAGUCACCACUGCCUGUCUGGGACUUGGGCCCAGACUGGUAUACCCAUCCCUGGCUCCACAGUCUCACGGCUGGGCUGAGCCGGAAGUGGGCAGAUCAGGAGACAUCAGCCUAGGGACAGCACCAAUUGGCACUUCAGAGGAAAGAAACUGGGCAAAAAGGUGAGGCCACCUGGGGGCAGCAUCUCAGUGCUUUCACAUGCAUCUUUGGGCUUAACCCUCAGAAGGUGCCUGGGAGGAGGAGACCGUGCCCAUGGAACCAACGUGACCUCUGGGGUUUCUUCAUCACAACACCCUUUCCUGAGCCCUGAGCCUGUGCCAGGCCAGUUGAUGAGCUGAGGACAGCGAUGAAAGACCCAUUGCCCUUGCUCCUGUGGUUCAUAGGGGUCAGUCUCUGGGGACUGGGGCUUGGGCCCUGGGGCUUCCCUGGCUUUUGCAGGAGUGGCCCCAGCAAAAUCUCUUCUCCACAGGGAUUGGAUAUUUCCAUCCAGAGGAGCUGUAGCAAGAACCCAACCCGACCCUGACGUCAGACAGCCCCCAGUACCCAUCCUGCCCCACUCCCUUUCCAGCUGGAUCACUGUGGUCAAAUGACAGCAUCUUCACGCCUAUUUCCCCUUCUCCCAAACAGGGCUGCGAAAGCUCCCGCUUCAUAGGGCCAACAGGAUUGAUCAUCAUUGUCCAUACUCUCAUCGGACAGAGGGAAAAAUGAAAGCCCAGAGAAGAAAGGGGCUCAGACAGGGUCACAGCAGGAGUUGGGAGUUAAGUCAGAAGCAGAGCUUCCAGACAGAAGACAGAGGAUCCUGGGCUGGCUGGCGACAUUUCCUGAAGACUUGGGGCAAGGGAGGGGGAAAUGGCAGUCCCCUGGGGUCAGCCUUCCAGGCUGCCAGAAAGCCCUCCCUGAACCUCCAGGUAAAAGGUCCACCCGGCUCAGCCUCAUCCUUUCAUAGAAGGGGAAACAGAGAAAAGUGAAGAAAUAGUGGUGCCAACUGGCAACAGAACCUGGGACUCCAACCGACCACCUGUCUCAUCUUCUGACUGGGGACCCAGAGCACGAAAGAGCCUCCGUGGGGUAAGUGAGACAGGAGCUCUGUGGACCCCCUGCUCAGGGAGGCCCUCACUGGAAGGAGGCAGGGGUUGGGACAAGUGCCAUCGGCCAUCCAAGCAAGUAUGCAUGACCCAAAGGAAGCGUUCCAGGGGCUGAAGAGCCAGGAACAGUCCGCCCUCCACAUCUCUCCUUCCACCCCACCAACUGUGCACUUCCUCCUCCAAGGAGCCUUCCCAGCUCCCCCAGGGACAGGACCUCUUUGUCUUCCAAGCCUUUGUCAGUCCUUUCAUGAGCUCUCCUUGUCCUACUUGGCUCUGUGUCUAUCCCCAUUCCCUGCUCAGAGCAGUUUCUGGUUUUGGUUUGGUUUGGUUUGGUUGGUUGGCUUGUUGGUUGGUUGGUAUUAUGGAUCAAACCCAGGGCUUCCACACUGAGCUAUAUCUGCAGCUCUUUUUUAUUUUUAUUCUGAGACAGGGUCUUGCUAAUUUGCUAAGUUGCCCAGGCUGGGUUCAAACUUUCUAUCCUCCUCCCCCAAUCUCCCAGAGUGCGAGGAUUACAGGUGUGGGACAGGGCAUUUUGCUUCUACCUCAGCCUGACUACCAGGCUCAGCCCCAUCUCCCUGGGCACAGAAGAGGCACUUGGUUUGCUCAAUGACCAGGUGUAAUGAUAAGACCCUGUCCUAAACCCAAAGGACUGGGGAACUGGUCCGGGAGGAGAGACCCAGUGUGGAGGUUGAUGGAGGGGGUGUGGAAUUGUUUACUCUGAGCUAAGAAACCCAGCACAGCUCCUUGCUCUGUGGCCUCAGAAAACACCCCUGCAGUGGAGCCUUAAGGACGCACAGGGAUUGACACAAGAAACCAUUCGAGAAGUGGCCAUUUUGGUUCUAGUCAUCACCUGUGUGAUUGCUCUGGUACUGAGGAGCAGAACUAGGCAGCUCAGACCGCAGCCAUAGAGGAAUUACAGCUUCUGUCCAGUGUCACUUUCUCCUGGAGAAGCAUGGCCACCUCUGCUGCCCUGUUCCCACGGCAGAGUCAGCUGUCUGCUGUCUGUGCGCCCUUCACCCUCGAGGUGAGGUAGAAACGUCCUGAGCUCGCCUUGGAGGUGAUCACUGUCCUGCCUCACCUGCUAUUGGAUUCAGAUGCGAUGGGAUGGGGCAUUGUUUCCCAAACCCACCCCUUCAGACGCCUCCUUUUUUAUUUGUGCACACAAUCAUAGUAUUUAAAAAUAUAAGAUGAGUCCUCCAAGUACUUAAAUAGAAACAGUUAUGAUAAAAUGAAAACUAUAGCACAGUCCAAAGGUAGAAAUAAAUACAGUGAAAAUGAAACAACGUGGUUAGGCUUUAACCUAACAUGUGGCUUGCAGGAUCCUGAGCAGUAAGAGGGGUCAGGAAGGUGUCAGCCCACGCAGCAUGGAAAGCGAAGUGACACAGAACACCAGAGCCACUCUGUCCUCAAGUGACUCAGUGCUGAGACCACCGGCUCCCACACCUCAGGGGUCAAGCCGAGCACCUCCUCUCCCGGGUGCUGGAGCCAGGGGAGCGGCAUGCACAGGUCGUCCACCUGGCCAAUCGAGUCCAGGGUUAGAACUGCUGCCAAGCCAGGGCCAGUUUGAAAGGUUUCUUUUUCUCUCCUCCCCUCCCUCCCCCUCCCCCUUCUUCUCCUCUUCUUCCUCCUCUUUCUUCUUUUUCUUUUCUUUUUUUUUUUGAAUGGUCCUGGGCAUUGAACCCAGGAUCUUCACACUAAGCUGCACCCUGGCCCUUUUUAAUUGAUUAAUUUUUUUUUUUGGUACCAGGGAAUCGAACUCAGGACCUUGUGCUUGGAAGGCAGGCGGUGGCACCACUGAGCUAAAUCCCCGGCCUGGCCCUUUUUUAUUUUGAGACAGUAUCUUGCCAAGUUGCCCAGGCUAGGCUCCAGUUUGCAGUCCUUUUGCCUCAGCCUCCCAGAGUGCUGAGAUAACAAGUGUGCAAGAGUUUUUGCAAGAGGAAGGGAGUUCUUUGGCUGAGAAUACCUCUGGCAGGCUGUCCCCUCAGCUGCCGGCAGACCUGCCCCAAGCAACAGACUAGAGGUAGACGUCCCACUCCUCCCGGAGACUGCAUUGAGCCUUAGGUCAGAUUCCUGAUGCAGGUAGGCAUGGGAGACAUUUUGUUUUUUUAAUGGAGGUGUUUUCUUUCUUCUUUCCCAGACCUGAGGAAAGGCUGCCCAUGCCCUUCAGACAUCCUUGAAAGUGUAGGUCACUGGCAUUGAGGCCACCACGGUCGCCAUCAGACAGAGCAGGAGGCUCCUCGGGCACCCUGAGAGCCUGGUGGGGCAGGAGUGGGGGAGGGGACGUUCCCACCCAAGCCAGGCCCAGAGAAGGAAGUGACUUGUCUACAUGGUCAUUCAACCUGCCAUACAUGGCGCCCCUGCAGUUACUCACCAUGGACAAAGCCAUCAGCCAGGUCUAGGGACCACAAGAUAUGGAGCUCUGUCCUCAGGGAACCGGAGAUCUCACCAGGUCCAAUCUAGGCCCAUGACUCUCAUUCUAGAGAGCCUGAGGCUGAGGGGUGAUCCACGCUGCCUGCUGUGAUUUAGGAGGUGAGGCCGGUUCACCACGUUCUUUCCCUCACGGUUGGGCCACCAGUCCACGACAAGUGAAGUUGCCUUUCAAGAGUGGUAAAGGGCCAGGGGCCAGGGAUUUAGCUCAGUGGUCCCGCCGCCUGCCUCGCAAGCUCAAGGUCCCAAGUUUGAUCCCUGGUACCAAAAAAAUAAAACCAAAAAGAGUGGUAAAGGGCCAGGUGCAGUGCCACACACCUGUAAUCCCAGCACUCUGGGAGGCUGAGGCAGAUGGCUUACAAGUUCGAGCCCAGCCUAGACAACUAGAGAUUUAGGAAGACUCUGUCUGAAAAGAAAAGAAAAGAAAAGAAAAGAAACAGAGAUGUGGGGGACCUGGGGAUGUAACUUUAAAAAGUACAGGAAUGGAGCAGUCACAGUAUGGGCAAGAUCACGGGAGCAGGGGGACGCGAGGUGGAAAGAAGCCAAAGGCUGUCCUCUCAACUGACACUGCACACAGGAAGAGGAGAGGCCGGGGAGCCAGGGGACUGUGUGAGCCUGGAGCAGCAAAUGGGGCAGCAGUGGCCUAAAAGAGAAGCCUGGGGGCAGAUGGGACAGAUGGGACAGAUGCAGAGGCCCUCCGAGCUGAGGGAGGGUUCAGAGUCAGCCUGGGGCAGAGGGAGCCCUUUGGGGUUAUAAAUCCAAAAAAGGGCCACGUUUGCAUUUGAGGUCUCUUGUUUCCAUUCCUCCCAGUGCGUCUGGAAGGGUGGGUGGGAAGAAGGGAGGAGUGGAGGAAGGGAGACAAGGUAGGGCAAGUGCUCCCUGGACACAAUGUCAAGUCCCAUGGUGCCAUUUGGCUGCUCCAAGCAGAAGGAUGGGGCCAUGGGGUCCACAAGCUAGGUCAGAACAGACAGAUCUCUAGAGACAGAAACUGGUCCACCUCAGGUUGGAGUUAGCUGAGGAGGGAGCGGUUAUGGGUGGGGUGAAGUAUUCUAAAAUUGUGGCAACAGCCGGGAAUUUAGCUCAGUGGUUCUGGUGCCCUGCCUUAAAAGCCCAAGGUCCCAAGUUCAAUCCCCGGUUCCAAAAAUAAAUAAAUAAAUAAAAUUGUGGCAACAGUUGCACAACUUUGUGAAUAUUAAAAACCAAUGAAGGAGCAGGGAGUGUAGCUUGGUGGUUAGAGAACAUGCUUAGUGUGCACUUGUGUGAGGGUCUGGGUUCAAACUCCAACACUGCAAAAAAACAGCAAACCAAAUUAUUUAAUUGUGCACUUUCCAUGGGUAGACUCCAUGGCAAUGAAAGAGAAAAGGCCAGCAGGGCUGGAGGUGCAGCUCAGUGGUUGAGCACUAGCUUAGCAUCACCAGCACUGCGAGGAGGGAGAAAGGAAGAUGGGGUUUGGUUCAGUGGGCUCCAGUGGCCUCCAAGGACAGGAAGCACAGCUGGGGCAGCAACAGAAGCCUCCAGGCAGGGCUGGGAGAGGCAGCCAGGAGGAGUCGCCUCGGCCCAGCCACCUCGCCAGCAGCGCGGCCCUGUCCCCCAGCCUGAGGUGCAGUGCUGCAUCUCUGGUCAGUUGGGAGUCUGAGAUGAAGCACUGUAGCUCGGGAAGGGAGAAGUUGUUCUGCAGCCUUGGCCUGGACAAGGUAAGUGGUGACAGUGGCGGGGGGGGGGGGGGGGGGAAGGAUGGAUGUCCCCAGACUCUGUGCCAUCAGCAGAGUCCUGGAUUCCAGACCCACCAGAGCCGCCCGAUGCCUCUGUGCCCGGGGUCCAUCCGUGACAUGAGGGGCUGCACAGUUCCGUGGUGGCCGUUAGGCCCUGCAUCCUGGACAGCUGCUGUUAAUGACCCAGAGCUGAGUGAAUUGCCCGUGGGCAGAUCGGACGACUCCUAAAGACUCUUAAGCAUGGGCUGGGGAUUUAGCUCAGUGGUUUCAGCGCCUGCCUCGCAAGCGCAAGGUCCCAAGUUCGAUCCCCAGUACCAAAAAAAAAAAAAGACUCUUAAGCUUGGGAGACAAAAGCCCUGGUUCUGAGUCAGGGCCUUCACUCUCUGAGCUCCUCAGCUUGGCUCUUUCAGUUGAGCAAUGGGCAGCGUGAGAGAACCACUGGGCCGAGCACAGUGCUGUUUAACCUCCCAGCACACAGUGAGGGAGGGGGCGGGGGGGCAGUGUGCUGCUGGCCCACUUUAUAGAGGAGAAAACCAAGGCUCAGUUAAGCAGCUCAACCAAGGUCACGUCUCGAUUGUGCUCAGCUGGUUGUACCCUAAUCUGUCUGCCUUCAGGCUACUGCUCUACCCACUGCUGGGAUCAUGGAAUCGGGGAUGGGGAACAGGAGAACAUAAGGAAUCCCACUCUGGUCUUUACACCUAGAGUUACUGUUCACAAAAGCAGACCCAGACACCUCCAUUAAUGGUAUGGGCUCACCCCACAUCCUAUCCUAUCAACUCAGCUGUUCCAUAGGACCUGUACCGUCUGUCCCAUUUACAGGCCAUGGUUCAGGGCUUGUGACUUGCUGGAGGUCAUCAGAGAAAGUUGCCAACUUGGGUGUGAUGGUACACGCCUGUAAUGCCAGCCCUCUACAAGGCAGAGGCAAGAGGAUUAAGAGUUCUAGCCCAGCCUGGGCCACUUAAUGAUUUAGCAAGACCAGGUAUCAAAAUAAAAAAUAAAAACAGGACUAAGACUGUAGCUCACUAUGAAGGCCUUGGGUUCAAUCCUUAGUACAAAAAAAAAAAAAAGAAAAGAAAAAUGUAGAUGUGCCCUAUUCACCCUCUGGCUAGCGACUGGGGUACACUUGAGCCAGGGUAGCUAAGGGGAUUGGGGGUGCAGCUGGGGACUGAGGUCCCAGAUGGUUUCUGAUCAACAAGCUCACCAGGCCGCCUUGGUGAUGGGAAGGUACUUUCCAGGGCACUCAAAUUCCAGUCACUGCUCUUCCCAGAGCAGGAAGCCGCAUCCUGUGAGUGGCGCCCCCGCCGGCCGCUCCCCUGGCUCACAGGGACAGGGCAGGCCUUGGUGCUGAAGGCCACUCUCCCACCUUGUCCUCACGGUCCAGUUUUCCCAGGAAUCCCUUGGAUGCUAAGAUGGGGAUUCCUGGAAAUACUGUUCUUGAGGUCACGGUUUAACAGCUGGACUCAUCUCUCGCCCACCCCAACUCUGCCCCUGAGGGAAGAGGGUCAAGUAGAAGGCCAAGCGCUGGAGGUAAGAGGGCCUGUGAACCAUGUUCUUGACCUUGAAGUUGUUUUUCUUCCCACUGUGUCCAUUUCGUAACAUCCCUGUGAGGCUGGAUGUGGGGAAUGCAGCACUGUCCAUGCUUGGGAAACUUGUCCCAAGCCAGCAGUGGCUGAAGCAGAAUAGAAUCCCCUCUCAGCUCCCCCUACACCACCACCCUCCCUGGAGGCUUUGUUAUAACGGGGCAUGGUAUCAUAUCCACAUGACUGAGAAACUGAUAUAUGCACAUGAAUUUAUUUUACAUGUUUAUUAAAUCAUUAAGCCAGGCAUGGUGGUGUAUGCCUGCAGUCCCAGGUACUCAACCCUGAGGCAGAAAGACCACAAGUUCAAGACCAGUCUGGAUUACAUAGCAAGGCCCUGUCUCAAAAAAAACAGGCAAAAAAAAGUUUAUUACAUCAGCUAGGUAAACUACAAACCAUAAAUCUUUGUUCAAUUUGGAAUAUAGCCACAGAAAAAUGGAAAAUUUGUCAUCAAGGUAGAGUAAACAAGACUCAGGACGCCCCCUUGUGGUACUUGUACCCACUGCAGGAACUGUGGCUGCUCCAUGUACACUCUAAAGUAGCUACAAGACUCAGGACUAAGAUUUACCCUGAGAUCCCUUUGCCUCAGUGGCCUGAGGAUGUCAUUAACAGCAACACCUUCUCUGUUGCUUACCCUCUUUUCCUUCCAAAACCUGGUGUCCUCCUCAAACCCAGCUAAUGUCAAUAGGGUUAAUGAGGUUCAGAGAAGUAAAGUGACCAACCAAGGUCACUCGGACAGCAAAAGGCAGAACUAGGACUGGUUUCAAGUUCAAUGGCCUUUGCCAAUCUCUUAGCCAAAAGAAAAACCUACGAAAAUCAAGAAUAAAGGCUGCCUAUGGGUAAUGCUAACUGACUGAAUGUCGGAGCCCUGAAGUGGUCCAGGUACAUAACUAGAACUUCCCCCAAAUUCUUCCUGGUGCUUUUUAUGGAGUUAGUGGAGGUGGUGACUGCCGUGGCCCCAGGGGCCUCAUUUGGGCUGUGAUCCCCCACAUUCCCAUGGACCAGGUGGCUUCCCAGGCUGUGUUCCUAACUGGCCACACUGAAGACAUUCAUGAGCUGAGACCCCAUGGCCUCUCUGUGCUCUGUGACUAAUAAAGUGCUGGACCUUUGCCUGGUGUCCUGUCUCUUCCUGGGAACGUGCGACAGGGGAGGUAGCGAGCGCAGAGACAGAAUCUCAUGAUGGCCCCAGCUGGGGUAACUCCCAAGUGCCUCCACAUGACGAGAUGCUUCCAGAAGCAGCAUAGACAGCGAUCAGGAGCCACAUCUGGGCAGAUGAAGGUCUCAGGAAGCUGCUGUGCCGCAUCUAGGAAGGCUUCCCCAAGGUGAGUUAGAGGGGUGAGGUAGCAGCUGAACAAGGAGCCCUCAGGGCCUCUCCACGCAGCUCCCUUCUCCUUCAGUCCCAGGUCAAAUAGGAAGCAGGGGUCUGAAGUGUUAGGUGAGUUCACACCUCACACAAGUGCCCGACUCCUGGUGGCCCCUGGAUAUCGGCCGUAACCACAUAACCACGGGGGAAGGGGCUGACACAAGGGUGCUUGGGACCCAGUCACCCCACUUCGGUAUGAGCCUCCAAACUGCCACAUAUUGAGAGCAAAAUCCUCUUCUGUGGUGACUCCCAGCUGCCUAGGGCCUCCCUACAGCUGUCCUUUGUGCCCAGAACGAGCUGUGGGUGGGAGCUGGGCACUGUGCUCAUCGCUGGGAAGCCCUCCAUGCCAGGCUGAGUGCCCCUCCUGCCACCACUGCACUGGCCCAGGCAGGCUGUUCCUCUUGGCCUUGAAACAGGACCCAGACAAACCCCAGGGCUUCUUGGUUCCCAGGCUUUAUCCAUGGGGCAGUUCCUUCUAGAACUCCUACUCCAUGUGGAACUUAGCCACCUGAGAUGACAUUUCCUGGCCUCUGUGGACCACUUACACACUGAGGUUUGAGAUUUGGGGGGGGGCCCUGCCAUAGAGGGGUGCACAGGAAUGACAGCAAAUAUCCUAAAGCAGCCACCUCCUUACUGACUUCAGUGUAAUGCAGCAAGCAUCGUCUGGUGCACACGCACGCCUCGUGUGGAUACAGCAGUGCACACGACCCCAGAGGAGCCUGCUGUGAAGACAGCUCUAGUGCACUGCACUGUACUUGGGGACCCAUGCUGACCAGGGCUGAACACAGCUCUAAGUAGGAAAGAUUUCAAUCUCAUGUCUCAAUGCCAUGCCCAGGCCUCCAUGCUGUGGAGGGAAGGAAUGAAAGCAGAUCCCCAGGCCCAGGCUCUGCCCGAUGGAGGAUCCACACGGCCGUUGACUCAGAAGGAGGCCUAGACCAGUCCCUUGGUGAGGAGUGGGUGAGGGACCAGGAUGCAGGCAGAAGGAAGAGGGUGCCCUCUUGUGGCCCACUGAGAAAUGACAGGCUUCUUUGGUUACAAAGACUUUUCAUUAUAUUUAUGUCAUCAGUGACCAUUACCUAAGACAUUUGCGUAGGAUUUUGCUUUUCAAAGCGUAUUUCCCCGGGCGGGGAUUUAGUUCAGUGGUUCCGCCGCCUGCCUCGCAAACGCAAGGUCCCUAGUUUGAUCCCCGGCACAAAAAAACAAAAUGUACUUCCCAUCCUGUGAUCUCACUUGAACCUUGGUUUGAGAAGCAUAUUUCAGAGUUUAAACAGUACUUGUUAUAAAAAUAAUCAUGACAGGGCCGGGGAUUUAGCUCAGUGGUUCUCCCACCUGCCUUGCAAGCACGAGGUCCUGAGUUUGAUCCCCAG